UCAGCGUGAAAGACAUGGGUAGUGAGAUGUUGGCGUGGUAGUUCCACACCUCUCACUACUUUGUCGUUCACGUUGCG
This 77-nucleotide microRNA precursor is filed under the name Daphnia magna. RNAcentral's name for it is "mir-71 microRNA precursor family". It matches the Rfam family "mir-71 microRNA precursor family". The record is from Rfam by way of RNAcentral. Lineage: Eukaryota; Metazoa; Arthropoda; Branchiopoda; Diplostraca; Daphniidae.